RNAcentral lists this ribosomal RNA (386 nucleotides) under uncultured bacterium. Its description in RNAcentral is "bacterial SSU rRNA". It matches the Rfam family "Bacterial small subunit ribosomal RNA", at positions 28 to 418 of the family's 1533-position model. The record is from RNAcentral.
AUUGAACGCUGGCGGCAUGCCUUACACAUGCAAGUCGAGCGGCAGCGCGGGGCAACCUGGCGGCGAGCGGCGAACGGGUGAGUAAUGCAUCGGAACGUGUCCAUGUCGUGGGGGAUAGCCCGGCGAAAGCCGGAUUAAUACCGCAUACGCCCGAGAGGGGAAAGUGGGGGACCGCAAGGCCUCACGCGAUUGGGUCGGCCGAUGUCCGAUUAGCUAGUUGGCGGGGUAAAGCCCACCAAGGCGAUGAUCGGUAGCUGGUCUGAGAGGAUGAUCAGCCACACUGGGACUGAGACACGGCCCAGACUCCUACGGGAGGCAGCAGUGGGGAAUUUUGGACAAUGGGGGCAACCCUGAUCCAGCCAUUCCGCGUGAGUGAAGAAGGCCUU